GUGCUCCCCUCCAAAGCACAGGUAUUUAAUUGGAACCAUACAGACAAGAUGGGCAUGCCCCGCACAAGGAUGAAAGGCAACUUCAUGAAGCGUUCCUUAUUUUU
This is a small nuclear RNA of Zalophus californianus (California sea lion), 104 nucleotides long. NCBI's taxonomy places the organism in Eukaryota, Metazoa, Chordata, Mammalia, Carnivora, Otariidae. The record is from Ensembl.